GCCGAGGUGGUGGAAUUGGCAGACACGCUAGCUUGAGGGGCUAGUGACCGCAUAGGUUGUGCGGGUUCGAGUCCCGCCCUCGGCACCA
RNAcentral lists this transfer RNA (88 nucleotides) under Armatimonadota bacterium. RNAcentral describes it as "Armatimonadetes bacterium (bioreactor metagenome) tRNA-Leu". It matches the Rfam family "tRNA". Rfam says of the family: Transfer RNA (tRNA) molecules are approximately 80 nucleotides in length. Lineage: Bacteria; Bacillati; Armatimonadota. The record is from RNAcentral.